Molecule: ribosomal RNA, 847 nt
Filed under: uncultured bacterium
Lineage: Bacteria
Description: bacterial SSU rRNA
Rfam family: Bacterial small subunit ribosomal RNA
Source: RNAcentral
ACGCUGGCGGCGUGCUUAUGCAUGCAAGUCGAACGGCCUGAUUUAUCGAGAUAGUGGCGAACGGGUGAGUAACGCGUAAGCAACCUGCCCCUAAGUAGGGGAUAACUCUGAGAAAUUAGAGCUAAUACCAUAUGUGGUGGUGGAGGUAAUGCUUCAUCACUAAAGCUUUAGGGCGCUUAGGGAGGGGCUUGCGUCCGAUUAGCUAGUUGGUAGAGUAAUGGUUUACCAAGGCGAUGAUCGGUAGCUGGUUUGAGAGGACAUCCAGCCACAUUGGGACUGAGAUACGGCCCAGACUCCUACGGGAGGCAGCAGCAAGGAAUUUUGUGCAAUGGGCGAAAGCCUGACACAGCGACGCCGUGUGGGGGACGAAGGCUUUCGGGUUGUAAACCCCUUUUCUCAGGGAAGAAUAAUGACGGUACCUGAGGAAUAAGUCGUGGCUAACUACGUGCCAGCAGCCGCGGUAAUACGUAGGCGGCGAGCGUUAUCCGGAUUUACUGGGCGUAAAGAGGGCGUAGGCGGUUUUUCAAGUCGAUUGUAAAAUCUCCCGGCUUAACUGGGAGGAGUCAUUGGAUACUGUUAAACUAGAGAACAGCAGGGGGAGGUGGAAUUCCCGGUGUAGUGGUGAAAUGUGUAGAUAUCGGGAGGAACACCAGUGGCGAAGGCGGCCUCCUAGGCUGUUUCUGACGCUGAGGUCCGAAAGCGUGGGGAGCAAACAGGAUCAGAUACCCUGGUAGUCCACGCUGUAAUCGAUGGACACUAGGUAUAGGGAGUAUCGACCCUCUCUGUGCCGAAGCUAACGCAUUAAGUGUCCCGCCUGGGGACUACGGCCGCAAGGGCUAAAACUCAA